GAUGAACGCUGGCGGCGUGCCUAAUACAUGCAAGUCGAGCGAACAGAUGAGGAGCUUGUUCCUCCGACGUUAGCGGCGGACGGGUGAGUAACACGUGGAUAACCUACCUAUAAGCCUGGGAUAACUUCGGGAAACCGGAGCUAAUACCGGAUAAUAUCUUGAACCGCAUGGUUCAAUAGUGAAAGACGGUUUUGCUGUCACUUAUAGAUGGCUCCGGGCCGCAUUAGCUAGUUGGUAAGGUAACGGCUUACCAAGGCAACGAUGCGUAGCCGACCUGAGAGGGUGAUCGGCCACACUGGAACUGAGACACGGUCCAGACUCCUACGGGAGGCAGCAGUAGGGAAUCUUCCGCAAUGGGCGAAAGCCUGACGGAGCAACGCCGCGUGAGUGAUGAAGGUCUUCGGAUCGUAAAACUCUGUUAUUAGGGAAGAACAAAUGUGUAAGUAACUAUGCACGUCUUGACGGUACCUAAUCAGAAAGCCACGGCUAACUACGUG
Molecule: ribosomal RNA, 497 nt
Filed under: uncultured bacterium
Lineage: Bacteria
Description: partial 16S ribosomal RNA
Rfam family: Bacterial small subunit ribosomal RNA
Source: RNAcentral